GGAGUGCGGGGUGCUUACACAUGCAGUCGAGCGGAAGGCCCUUCGGGGUACUCGAGCGGCGAACGGGUGAGUAACACGUGAGUAACCUGCCCCUGACUCUGGGAUAAGCCUGGGAAACCGGGUCUAAUACCGGAUACGACCAUUUCUCGCAUGUGAUGGUGGUGGAAAGUUUUUUCGGUUGGGGAUGGGCUCGCGGCCUAUCAGCUUGUUGGUGGGGUGAUGGCCUACCAAGGCGACGACGGGUAGCCGGCCUGAGAGGGCGACCGGCCACACUGGGACUGAGACACGGCCCAGACUCCUACGGGAGGCAGCAGUGGGGAAUAUUGCGCAAUGGGCGGAAGCCUGACGCAGCGACGCCGCGUGGGGGAUGACGGCCUUCGGGUUGUAAACCUCUUUCAGCAGGGACGAAGUUGACGUGUACCUGUAGAAGAAGCGCCGGCUAACUACGUGCCAGCAGCCGCGGUAAUACGUAGGGCGCAAGCGUUGUCCGGAAUUAUUGGGCGUAAAGAGCUCGUAGGUGGCUUGUCGCGUCUGCCGUGAAAGCCCGUGGCUUAACUACGGGUCUGCGGUGGAUACGGGCAGGCUAGAGGCUGGUAGGGGCAAGCGGAAUUCCUGGUGUAGCGGUGAAAUGCGCAGAUAUCAGGAGGAACACCGGUGGCGAAGGCGGCUUGCUGGGCCAGUUCUGACGCUGAGGAGCGAAAGCGUGGGGAGCGAACAGGAUUAGAUACCCUGGUAGUCCACGCUGUAAACGUUGGGCGCUAGGUGUGGGGGUCUUCCACGAUCUCUGUGCCGUAGCUAACGCAUUAAGCGCCCCGUCUGGGGAGUACGGCCGCAAUGCUAAAACUCACAGGAAUUUCUCGGGGGACCGCAUACGCAGUCGAUCAUGUUGCUUAACUCGACGCAACGCGAAGAACCUAUACUAAGGUUUGACCUACACCGGGAUACCCUCAGAGAUGGGAUGACUACUUUGGACUGCUGUACAGGUGGAGCAUGGCUGUCGUCAGCUCGUGUCGAGAGAUGUUGAGCUAAGUCCCGCACGAGCGCACCUUGCUCCAUGCUGCCAGCACGCCCUAUGGGGGUGUGGGGACUCAUGGACCACUGGCCGG
Molecule: ribosomal RNA, 1106 nt
Filed under: Microbispora amethystogenes
Lineage: Bacteria; Bacillati; Actinomycetota; Actinomycetes; Streptosporangiales; Streptosporangiaceae
Description: bacterial SSU rRNA
Rfam family: Bacterial small subunit ribosomal RNA
Source: RNAcentral